AUCCCAAAUAAACCCAUUGUUUAUUUGAUUCAUGGGAGGCAUAUAUUGAUGUUGGGAGUUUGCUGAUAGCACCUUUCUUUUUUCCAGGGGAUGUUUCAGUAGUACCUCACCAUACACUU
Molecule: non-coding RNA, 119 nt
Organism: Nicotiana tabacum (common tobacco)
Lineage: Eukaryota; Viridiplantae; Streptophyta; Magnoliopsida; Solanales; Solanaceae
Source: Rfam